UACGGGGGGAGCAAGCGUUGUUCGGAUUUACUGGGCGUAAAGGGCGCGUAGGCGGUCGUGACAAGUCACUUGUGAAAUCUCCGGGCUUAACUCGGAACGGUCAAGUGAUACUGUCGGACUAGAGUACAGAAGGGGCAACUGGAAUUCUCGGUGUAGCGGUGAAAUGCGUAGAUAUUGGGAAGAACACCGAUGGCGAAGGCAGCCAUCUGGACCGACACUGACGCUGAGGCGCGAAAGCGUGGGGAGCAACAGG
RNAcentral lists this ribosomal RNA (253 nucleotides) under uncultured bacterium. RNAcentral's name for it is "partial 16S ribosomal RNA". It matches the Rfam family "Bacterial small subunit ribosomal RNA", at positions 524 to 775 of the family's 1533-position model. The record is from RNAcentral.